CCUACGGGUGGCUGCAGUGGGGAAUAUUGCGCAAUGGACGAAAGUCUGACGCAGCGACGCCGCGUGAGGGAUGAAGGUUUUCGGAUCGUAAACCUCUGUCAGGAGGGAAGAAAGCACAUGGCGCCAAUCAGCCAUGCGUUGACGGUACCUCCAAAGGAAGCGCCGGCUAACUCCGUGCCAGCAGCCGCGGUAAUACGGAGGAUGCGAGCGUUAUCCGGAUUUAUUGGGUUUAAAGGGUGCGUAGGCGGACUGUUAAGUCAGCGGUAAAAGCCCGGGGCGCAACCCCGGCGAGCCGUUGAAACUGGCUGUCUUGAGAUGUCGAGAGGUAUGCGGAAUGCGCAGUGUAGCGGUGAAAUGCUUAGAUAUUGCGCAGAACUCCGAUUGCGAAGGCAGCAUACCGGCGGCGAUCUGACGCUGAGGCACGAAAGCGUGGGUAUCGAACAGGAUUAGAUACCCUUGUAGUC
This 464-nucleotide ribosomal RNA is filed under the name uncultured bacterium. Its description in RNAcentral is "partial 16S ribosomal RNA". It matches the Rfam family "Bacterial small subunit ribosomal RNA", at positions 338 to 795 of the family's 1533-position model. The record is from RNAcentral.